UACGGAGGGUGCUAGCGUUGUUCGGAAUUACUGGGCGUAAAGAGCGUGUAGGCGGCCCGGUAAGUCCGCUGUGAAAGUCGGGGGCUCAACCCUCGAAUGCCGGUGGAUACUGUCGGGCUAGAGUGCGGAAGAGGCGAGUGGAAUUCCUGGUGUAGCGGUGAAAUGCGCAGAUAUCAGGAGGAACACCGAUUGCGAAGGCAGCUCGCUGGGACGUAACUGACGCUGAGACGCGAAAGCGUGGGGAGCAAACAGG
RNAcentral lists this ribosomal RNA (253 nucleotides) under uncultured bacterium. RNAcentral describes it as "partial 16S ribosomal RNA". It matches the Rfam family "Bacterial small subunit ribosomal RNA", at positions 524 to 776 of the family's 1533-position model. The record is from RNAcentral.